GUACACUCCUGCGGGAGGCAGCAGUGGGGAAUAUUGGACAAUGGGCGCAAGCCUGAUCCAGCCAUGCCGCGUGAGUGAUGAAGGCCCUAGGGUUGUAAAGCUCUUUCACCGGUGAAGAUAAUGACGGUAACCGGAGAAGAAGCCCCGGCUAACUUCGUGCCAGCAGCCGCGGUAAUACGAAGGGGGCUAGCGUUGUUCGGAUUUACUGGGCGUAAAGCGCACGUAGGCGGACUAUUAAGUCAGGGGUGAAAUCCCGGGGCUCAACCCCGGAACUGCCUUUGAUACUGGUAGUCUUGAGUUCGAGAGAGGUGAGUGGAAUUCCGAGUGUAGAGGUGAAAUUCGUAGAUAUUCGGAGGAACACCAGUGGCGAAGGCGGCUCACUGGCUCGAUACUGACGCUGAGGUGCGAAAGCGUGGGGAGCAAACAGGAUUAGAUACCCUAGUAGUCCC
RNAcentral lists this ribosomal RNA (449 nucleotides) under uncultured organism. RNAcentral describes it as "partial 16S ribosomal RNA". It matches the Rfam family "Bacterial small subunit ribosomal RNA", at positions 331 to 797 of the family's 1533-position model. The record is from RNAcentral.